GACGAACGCUGGCGGCGUGCUUAACACAUGCAAGUCGAACGGCAAGGCCCUGCUUGCGUGGGGUGCUCGAGUGGCGAACGGGUGAGUAACACGUGAGUAACCUGCCCUUGACUUUGGUAUAACUUCAGGAAACUGGGGCUAAUACCGUAUAGGAGCCCCUGCUGCAGGGUGGGGGUGGGAAAGUUUGGGCGGGUGGGGAUGGACGCGCGGCUUAUCAGCUUGUUGGUGGGGGAGGGGCUUACCAAGGCUUUGGCGGGUAGCCGGCCGGAGAGGGUGACCGGCCACAUUGGGACUGCGAUACGCCCCAGACUCCUACGGGAGGCAGCAGUGGGGAAUAUUGCACAAUGGGCGGAAGCCUGAUGAAGCAACGCCGCGUGCGGGAUGACGGCCUUCGGGUUGUAAACCGCUUUAGCCUGUGACGAAGCGUGAGUGACGGUAAUGGGUAAAGAAGCACCGGCUAACUACGUG
This 468-nucleotide ribosomal RNA is filed under the name uncultured bacterium. Its description in RNAcentral is "partial 16S ribosomal RNA". It matches the Rfam family "Bacterial small subunit ribosomal RNA", at positions 28 to 507 of the family's 1533-position model. The record is from RNAcentral.